This 354-nucleotide ribosomal RNA is filed under the name Clostridioides difficile. Its description in RNAcentral is "bacterial SSU rRNA". It matches the Rfam family "Bacterial small subunit ribosomal RNA", at positions 1189 to 1533 of the family's 1533-position model. The record is from RNAcentral. Lineage: Bacteria; Bacillati; Bacillota; Clostridia; Peptostreptococcales; Peptostreptococcaceae.
AUCAUCAUGCCCCUUAUGCUUAGGGCUACACACGUGCUACAAUGGGUAGUACAGAGGGUUGCCAAGCCGUAAGGUGGAGCUAAUCCCUUAAAGCUACUCUCAGUUCGGAUUGUAGGCUGAAACUCGCCUACAUGAAGCUGGAGUUACUAGUAAUCGCAGAUCAGAAUGCUGCGGUGAAUGCGUUCCCGGGUCUUGUACACACCGCCCGUCACACCACGGGAGUUGGAGACGCCCGAAGCCGACUAUCUAACCUUUUGGAAGAAGUCGUCGAAGGUGGAAUCAAUAACUGGGGUGAAGUCGUAACAAGGUAGCCGUAUCGGAAGGUGCGGCUGGAUCACCUCCUUUCUAAGGAGA